UGGGGAAUAUUGGACAAUGGGGGGAACCCUGAUCCAGCCAUGCCGCGUGUGUGAAGAAGGCCUUAUGGUUGUAAAGCACUUUAAGCAGUGAAGAAUACAUCAUGGCUAAUAUCCGUGAUGAACGACAUUAGCUGCAGAAUAAGCACCGGCUAACUCUGUGCCAGCAGCCGCGGUAAUACAGAGGGUGCGAGCGUUAAUCGGAAUUACUGGGCGUAAAGCGAGCGUAGGUGGUUUAUUAAGUCAGAUGUGAAAUCCCUGGGCUUAACCUAGGAACUGCAUCUGAUACUGACAAACUAGAGUAGGUGAGAGGAAAGUAGAAUUCCAGGUGUAGCGGUGAAAUGCGUAGAGAUCUGGAGGAAUACCGAUGGCGAAGGCAGCUUUCUGGCAUCAUACUGACACUGAGGUUCGAAAGCGUGGGUAGCAAACAGGAUUAGAUACCCUGGUAGUCCACGCCGUAAACGAUGUCUACCAGUCGUUGGGUCUUUUAAAGACUUAGUGACGCAGUUAACGCGAUAAGUAGACCGCCUGGGGAGUACGGCCGCAAGGUUA
This 549-nucleotide ribosomal RNA is filed under the name uncultured bacterium. Its description in RNAcentral is "bacterial SSU rRNA". It matches the Rfam family "Bacterial small subunit ribosomal RNA", at positions 355 to 896 of the family's 1533-position model. The record is from RNAcentral.